UCUACGACCUCCUCUACGUACUUCUUCCCUUGGCGGCAUAAUUCCUAUUACCACCAACAACACUCUUUAACAAAAUCUUAAUCAUAAACAUAAGCAAGUCUUUAUCGUCAUGCAAUCUAGUUUAAUUUAGGCAAGGUCAUGCAAAUAAACCAUACAUAUAAGCAUCAAGCAUACCUGACGAGAGACGAAGGGUCGCGUUAGCCAUAGGAACACAAAAACAUAGACUUACAUCGUAAGUCAGUCUACAGAACCUAAAACUUAGGCUCUGAUACCAACUGUAACGACCCAACUUUUCUAGGUAAGUCGAGGUCAUUAAUUUUUAAUAAAAGACUUUAUUGAUACAAAAUGAAACGUAAGUCAAUUUAAAACAAUCUAUGUCAGGCCUGAUUUUCAAAUAUUCAAGAAAACUUAAAAAUAACACUAUUUACAAAUAAAAGUUUGUAAACUAAGUUUUAGUACAUCUUAAACCUUAAAAGAAACCAUAAGCGGAAGCAAAAUGACACAGUUCCUAUGGAAUCACGCUUCCUUCCUCCCCCUCGCCGGUUUGCCACCUUUAUUUCCUUUGCCUGAAAAUUAAACAUAAGAAGGGUGAGUAUAACAAUACUCAGUAAGAGACCCUUACUGUCUCCGUCAGGGAAAAAUAAUUGUUAAAGUUCUAUUGGGACACCCUGUACAGUCGCAGUCUUGUGAUCGCGUAGGAUACACAUUUCAGUCUAACGCCCCGAAGGACGUACAUAUCAGUCUAACGCCCCGAGGGACGUACAUAUCAGUCUAACGCCCCGAGGACGUACAUAUCAGUCUAACGCCCGAGGGACGUUCAUAUCAGUCUAGUGUUCUGCAGAAACACAUAUCAGUCAAAUGCUCCCGAAGGUGCAAAAUAAAUUGGUGAUCCUGGGACACCUACAAGGUAAACAUCCCAAUACACAACCUAACAAUUUAUCCCUCAUUCCAUUCAACCCAUCUUUCAGUUACUUCAAAUCACAAAGUCCUUUCUUCAACAUCCUAACAGUCAACUUAUUUUACUACAAUCAUAUGUCUGUCAAUAAUAUGCUAAUACAUCAGUCAAUUCACUAUACAGUCAAGUCAAUACACCCCUCAGUUCACCAGCACAAACCACAGUUCAGUAUAAUCCACAUCCACACCGAACAAAUUCACUAGUUCACAUCCAAUCUUUAUACAGCACAAUCUAUUAAUAUCAUCAUGUACACUAAGCAUAAUUUCAGUCAUUCACAUGUAUACUUUCGCAAUCCACAUCAAUUCACACAUCAAUGUAUAUAUAUAUGUUUCCAGUCAAAUACAACAUACACUAAACAUUUAGUCUGCAAUCAAACAUGUACAUCUUAAUCAUCAUCCAUACAGUCCAACACAACUCAAAAACUUUAGGUGAGUCCAGUAGAAAAUCCCUUACCUCACUUUUAUGCAGUUCUUCAAUCUACUAAAUCCAAUGAAUCAAAUCCUAACAUAAUCAAUCAUAAAAUCAACAUCUUCUAAAUAGUUUCAACCAUUCAAAUUACCCCAUAUGUAAAUUCACAACUUACCCAAGAAGUGAGAGAAUCAAGUCCACUUCAACCUUUUGGAAAAUCAAGGAUUCGCUCACUGAAUCAAGAUGUACCUUCAAGAAUUAAGCAUUUCGCCAACAAUUAAAUCCAAUGGCAGCAUCCAACAAAAACCAAGAAACCAACAAAAACCAUAACUUGUUCUUACCCAAAUAUGAGCCCAAUGGUUCACGACGAGGCAGAUCUGGACGACGAUUUGCUUUCCGAGGAGGCACGACGGUUGUGAGCGAAGAGGCACGGCAGUUACAGGCAGAUGGCGCGCGACGGUUUAGAUCUGAAGAAGAAAGAGAGGGUGGCAGUUGGGUUCGGCGAGCGGCGGCGGUUUUGCUUCGCGAACGGAGAUGGAGACGGCAGUUCGGCGCGCGGGACGAUGCAACGCAAAUCUGGACUGGCAGCGGCACGGUCUUGCUUCGCGGCUGGGUAUGGUGAAAAAGAAAGAGAAACGGAAGAAGAGAAGUCUCGGUGCGGUUGCUGGGCUACGGGCGGUUGCUGGGCUGCGGCGGAAGGAGAAAAUGGAAGGAAGAGAUCGGCGGAAAGAAGGAGAAGAUGGAUGGAGUCAGAUCGCACGGGGAAGAAGAAGGGAGAAAGAAAAGAAAAAGAAAAAGAAGAAAAAAAAAUAAUAAAGAAAUUUUAAUACUAAAGUAAAAUAAAAAUAUAUAUAUAUAAUAUAUAAUAUAUAUAUAUAUAUUUACCUUUCUUUGGGCAUUACAUUUUUUUUUUAAUUUUAGCAAAUAACAUUUUUUGCACGUGCAUAAUAUUUAUAAAAUACCAAAAUAUCCACAUUCUCCAACUAAAAUUAUUUUGUUUCUAUGUUGUAAUUAAUUUAUAUUAUGCAUUUAUCAACUUUUAAUUAUUUUUUACCUGAAAAAAGAUACAUAAACUCAUAUAUAUACUUUUUUCUUAAUAUCUCGGGACUCAACUAAUGGAUUCAAGACUUUAACUUUAUUUAAUCUUACUAAUUUCAAAAUAACCUAAUUGAAUUUGAAUUUCAAAAUAACCAAAUUGAAUUUCAACAUAACAAAAUUAUUAUUUUUCAAAUUUGAUAAUCUCAGAAAUAGAUUUUGUAUCAAAAUAACUUUAAUUGAAUUUCAAAAUUAAAAAAUAUCAACUUAUUCACUCUUUAUCUCACAAUAAUAUUAAUGGCUUGAAUAUCAAGAUAAUUAAAUUAUUGUUUUUAAAAUUGGGAGAAACUCAACAUUAAAAAAUAUCAACUUAUUCACACACAAUCACACGCGCACACACAUACAUACACUUGCACGCACGUGCACCCAUACACGCACACACACACGCGUGCACACACACACACACACACAAACGCACACAUGCACACGCACACCAAACCGCACGCACACAAAUACACACACACACGCACACUAAUGGUUCAAUUUCAUCGAUUGUUCCUAUUUUUCUGACAGUUUAUUUUUGCCAUCGAUAGAGGAUCUUCCGACAGACCUGCGUGACGGUGUGUGUUGACAGCUUAAUUUCGUUGGCAAAAGAAAAGUCGAUUAGUUUUUGAAGAUUUACUGACGAUAUUUGUCAUCGACAAAGGGUAAAUUUCUUGUAGUGCAUGUACAUCAAACAUAUCAAAUUUGUUAAGUGUACCAAUGAAGUAUAAGAAGUUUAUUAGUGGUGUAUCAAGCGUAUCAAACUUAUAAGUGAAGUCUUUAAGUGUAUCAAACUAAUCAAGUGUAUCAAGGUCUCAGGGUAUCAAGUGUAUCAAGAAGAAUCAAGUGUAACGAGAAGUAUUAUGUGGAACGAGAAGUAUUAUGUGUAUGAAGAUGUUUCAGGUGUGUAUCAAAAAGUAUCGAGUGUAUCAAUGAGUACCGAGUGCAUGAAUUGUAUCUAUCAAAUGUAUCAAGUGUAUCAGUAAGAAAUAUCAAGUGUAUCAAGCGGUAUUAGGUGUAUCAGACGUGUAUAAGGUGUAUCAAAUGUACAUCAAUAACGAGGGCAUUUGUGACAUUUUACCUCUUGAUGUGUGAGUUGGUCUUUGUUUUUGUCAUUUUCUCAAAUAAUAAAGUAUGUGUUCUAUGAACUUAAUUAUUAUAACUUACACUACUACAAAAACAGGCUCUCUUGACGUUUGCAGUUUUCCUUUCUUGACGUUUUUUUCAAAAAACGUCAAGAAAGAUUUCAUUUUUAAUAAAAAACGUCAAGAAAUUUUUUGAAACAUCAUUCUUGACGUUUAUUAAAUGUCAAGUAAAAUAAAUUUUUCUUUGACGUUUUUAAAACAUCAAGAAAUAUCUAUUAAUUUUUUGACGUUUUAAAACGUCAAGAAGCGUAUGAAUUCGACAUGCUUGACGUUUCUUAAACGUCAAGAAUUUAAAAUUUUACUCGACGUUUUAAAAACGUCAAGAAAUUCAUAAAAUAUUCAAGAAUAUUUUUUAAAUUACACUGAGAAGGUAUCGAAUUUUAAUUUUCAGCUCUAACAUUUUUCCUAAUCUACUUUUUUCUUCUUCACGACUGAGUAUUCGAGGGAGUCAUUUUUUGAAUUUGUUGACAUUUUUUAAACGUUAAGUAAGAUCAUUUUUUUUUUUACAUUUUAAAAAUGUCAAGUGUUAUUAAAUAAAUAUAAAAAAUAUAUUGGGCUAAUUUUAUUUCUUUAAAAUCUCUUUAAAUAUAUAGAUACAAUAAUAAAAAUCUCUUUAAAUAUAUAGAUACAACAAUAAAAAUUUCUUUAAAUAUAUAUAGAAAAAAAAUAUUGUACUAAUAUUAUUCAGAAUCACUUUAAAUAUAUAUAGAAAAAAUUAUUGUGCAAAUAUUAUUUUUUAAAAAGCCCUAGCCCCUUUCUACUCAAAACACGCGUGUUCCCCUUUCCCUCUCCAGCCGAAAUCCUUCCCAUUCGAAAAAAGUGUGUUCAGCAGUCGUCGUUCGCUUUCAACGCCUAUCCGUUCGCCUUCAACGUCUGUCCGUUCGAUUUCACCGUCGAGUUCCACCUCUUCGAAUCCCUCACGUCCGUCGUUUCAAAGUCCUUCGUCCGCUGCAUUCCAUCUUUCCAAAAUCCCUCAGUGCCUCACGCUACUGCGUGCCCGUCAUUUCGACUUCACCAACGAGUGCCUCACGUUCGUUGCUUCAAAAUCCAUCAUCCACUAAGUUGAGGUUAGGCUUUUAUUUCCCUAAAACAUAUAACAAUUUCAUUAUUCUUCAUUAUAUAAACUCAGAUGGCAUGAUUGGCAAUAAUAGAUAGGAAGGAUGGAGGUGUAAACUUCGAAUUGAUUGAAAUUCGUAUACUUUUAUUCAAUCUUUAAAGUACUGUAGUUUUUCUUCACCAUCAAAUUUUAUUAGGAUUUAAAGAAAACAAAUGAAUGUAUGAACAAAUUUUUGGGAGUGCAUGUCAUAUAAUCAACUUCCCUCUUUCAGUAAUUUUGAAGAUCUCAUAUAACAAUACUACUAAUUGAGAGCUUUGGAGGAUGAGUCAAUUCUUCUCCCUUCGUGAAAAGAAAAAGAAAAAAAGAUCAUGUAUUCUCUUUGUUUGUUACCUUAUGUUGUCCAAGGUUUUGCCUUCUUCCUUAAUAAUUUGGAGGUGUUUUAACUAAUUUUUUCAUUCACCCUCUUUUUGCCAUAGUUGCUUUUGUGUGCAGCUUGAGAUUUUUAAUUCAAUUGUGUGUUUUUACUUUUUUCUAUUGGGUGAAUUCUGUUUUGACUUUUUUUAAGCUAAAUAUAAUUAAUUGUUUCCUAUGGAACCAUAACCUUGAUCUUGGUUAUAGAUUUCAUUUUAAGGUAAAAGUAAAACACUCUUAUUUGAAUGAUUAUGUUGUAUUAUCCAUUGAAAGACUUGGUGUUGUAAUUGCCUUGUCUUCCUCAGGUAUUCUGUUGUAUGGUUGAUUACGAUCUUCAUGAUUGGAAUCUUUGUUUAGUGAAGCUCAUUUUGUUUGAUUUACUCAGUCGUGCAAUUGCUUUCUUUUUUAUGAUCACUUUAAAAAAGAAAUGAGUUUAGUUAGUUCUUUUAAUUUUCUUAAGUUUCAUUUGUAAUGCAUGAAAAUCUCUUAGCAGUAGAAACUGAAGACCAUAAUUGUAGAAGAUUUGUAUAGAUUGGAUUCACAUUCUCAACAUUGGUUAUACAGGCAUUACUUAUCAUUGUCCUUCCACUUUAAUUAUCAAUAGUGACAAUAACUUUAUUUCUCAUUAGAUUUACAAUGAUGGAUAAAUCUUGGAUGCACAAGAGUAGAUUGUCUAAAGAUUAUGAGUUGGGUGUGGAAAACUUCAUCAAAUUUGGAUUUUCUAAUACAACUAGCUCCUAUAUUCGUUGUCCUUGUUUGAAAUGUGGGAAUUGUGAAAAACAUAGUAGAAAGGGUGUUAGAGAUCACUUGUAUGUUAAUGGUAUUGAUGAAAGUUAUAAAUUUUGGUUUUGGCAUGGGGAAGAACUUCCUAACUCAUCCUUCUAUGAUGAAUCUUCAAAGUUUGACACCCAUACAUGUGAAGAUCAGGAUGUUGGAAGUGUAAAAGAAAUGAUUGAAGUUGCUCAUGAGGAGUAUUCAAAAGACCCAACUGGAUUUGAGAAGUUGCUUAUUGAUGCUGAAAAACCAUUGUACGAAGGAUGCAAAAAGUACACAAAGUUGUCUACUCUAGUCAAAUUGUAUAAUUUAAAAGUUAGGUAUGGAUAGAGUGAUACUAGUUUUUCAGAAUUACUUGAAACUUUGAAGGAAAUUCUGCCUAAUACCAAUGAGCUCCCGAAUUCAUUGUAUGAAGCAAAGAAAACAUUAGGUGCAUUAGGAAUGGAAUAUGAAAAGAUUCAUGCAUGCCCGAAUAAUUUUGUCUCUAUAGAAAAGAAUUUGCUAAUGCAAUUGAAUGUCAUGAAUGUUGUCAAUCAAGGUGGAAAAACGUCAAGGAUACAAAUGAAAGGAGAAAGCAAAUUCCCUCUAAAGUGAUAUGGUACUUUCCAAUCAUUCCACGAUUUAAAAGGCUAUUCAGAAGCAUUGAAUGUGCUGAAAACUUGACUUGGCAUUCUACUGAAAGAAUUAAUGAUGGUAAGUUACGACAUCCAGCCAGACUCUCCAGCAUGGAAGUUAGUAGACAUGAAAUGGCAAGACUUUGGUUCUGAACCCAUAAAUCUUCGUUUAGCAUUGUCAGCCGAUGGAGUAAAUCCUCAUGGUGACAUGAGUUCUAAAUACAGUUGUUGGCCGGUAGUGAUGGUUAUUUACAAUCUUCCACCAUGGUUGUGUAUGAAAAGAAAGUACAUGAUGCUAUCAAUGCUAAUUUCAGGACCAAAACAACCAGGGGAUGACAUAGGCAUAUACUUAGCACCACUAAUUGAAGAUUUAAAACUUUUAUGGGAAAGUGGUGUUGAAUGUUAUGAUGCUUAUCGAGAAGAACCAUUCAACUUAAGGUCAGUUUUGUUGUGGACAAUCAAUGAUUUUCCUGCAUAUGGUAACCUUAGUGGAUGUUGUGUGAAAGGGUAUAAAGCAUGCCCAAUUUGUGGAGAUAAUACAAAUUCUAUAAGGUUAAAGUAUGGGAAGAAAAUGGCAUACCUUGGACAUCGUAGAUUUUUGGCACGAAAUCAUCUGUAUCGACGACAAAAGAAGUCAUUCAAUGGUAAAAAAGAACUUGAUACAAUUCCAGAGCCACUUUAUGGGGAGGAUGUGUAUUUAAAAUUGAAAGAUCUUGAAUUUUCUAGAGGGAAGAAGAACCAUAAGAAACGGUUGAUGAACAGAAGUGACAAAAUUUGUUGGAAUAGAUUAUCUUCUUUUUUUGAGUUGCCAUACUGGAAGGAUCUUCAUGUUAGACAUUGUUUAGAUGUGAUGCACAUUGAAAAAAAUGUUUGCAUGAAUAUCUUAGGUACAUUUCUUGAUAUUCCUGGAAAAAGUAAGGAUGGAUUGAAUGCUAGACGCGAUUUAGUUGAUCUAAAACUUCGACCAGAGCUUGCCCCUAUCAGAAUAUGUUACUCCUACUAAUUACUUUCAUUAUGUAAAAAAGACAUCUAAACGUGAGGAUGAGAUUAUACUUGAGAAUAAAGAACUUCGAAGGCGUGUAAGCGAAUUAGAAGCACAUAACCACUCAAACUUGUCUAGACCAUUAUCUGGACAUGGUAGCUGUUCGAAGCCAAAUAUCUUAGAAGAGAGUGACUCGAUGAAAAUAAUCAAAGGGAAGAGUAAGUUGAUGGAUAAAAUCGAAGGGAAAGAGGUGGAGGAGAUCAAUGUAAAUGACGACAAAGUAGAGUUGGACAUCUUUAAGGUAUGUGAUCGAUCCUCUAAUAAACUCAAAUUCUUAAUAUUCAUAUCAUAUUGAAAGUGAAUGUUUUUCUUGAAUUAGGAGAGAGCCUUAAUAAAAAUGACUAAGGAAAAAGAGGUUGUCUGUGAAUCGACGUCAGUUUUGCCAAUGGGAAUGAAGUUGAUUCUCAUAUACGUUGAGAAGAUAAUGGAGAAAGAUUCUAGUAUCACUAUUCCACUACUGUUGGCAUUUUUGGUAUUAGUCGAAAGACUUCUGUUCUCCGAGAGGACAUCAUUGAUCUUUGUAACAUGAAUGAGGUCAAAACAUUUACAUUGGUGGCCUAUAUGACGUAAGUAUCAAUUUCAUUUCUUUAGAUCUAAAUUUAUGUAUCUCGUUUACAAGUUUAUAAUAUUUUGUAGGUACUUGUAUUCAUCUGUUCUUGGUUCGAAGGAAACUAUACAGUAUGUCUUUGUAGAUCCAUCCCUCACCUCUGUCGGACACUCGCAAGAAUCUCGAGUUCGACACUUAUGCAGUAGAUUGAUGGUCUCAAAGAUUAACGAAAUAGUUCUUGCUCCUUUUAAUCCUGGGUAAGUCAAGUUAUUUUAUUACUUGCAUUGCAAAAAACUAGUACUAAUAUUUUGUAUAAUUAGGGGUCAUUGGGCACUGCUGGCCAUAAAUGCAUAUGAUGAUAUAGUAUUUUACCUCGACUCACUAAGGACAACAUCGAAGUCAACUAUAAGAUACGUCACCGACACGUAAGUUAAUCUAGUAUUUCAUUUAGUGUUGAUUCUUAUAUGCAUGUACACAAUAUUUAAACUAUUUGUUCAAUCUUAUCUUGUCAAAACAGAGCAAUAGCGAUGUUUCAGUCACAAAAGAACAUUAAAAAAAGUAGAAAACAAACUUUAUGGCUAACAGUAAAGGUAAGUAUCAACUUUUAAAGUCAUUAAAUUUUUGUAGACUACUAGCAAUUAGGAUUACUUUGUUAUUCAAAUUUGUUGCUUUUAUAUAGUGUCCACUGCAAGGAAGUAUUGAGUGUGGAUACUAUGUGAUGAGGUAUAUGAGAGAAAUUGUGACUAGGGGAAGCAUUGUCAUAUCCGAUGCGGUAUGUUAUAUAUCAAACUAUUGGUUUUGUGAGUUAAUUGGUUUAUUUGUAUAGUCAGUUAAUUCAUUUAAUUUAUUUUGUAUGUUUAUUGAUUGAUACACGAAGAUCAUACUCACAGGCAGAACUACACGAGGUGCGAGUUGAGUUAGCUGACUUUUUGGGUUCUUACAUAUGAUUAUGACCAAUAUUUUGUGAUUCUGAAGUAGGAAAUUUUUUGUUGUGUCGCUUCUUUAUGACCCUAAACUUUAUGUAUAGAAACUUUAGCCGAUAAUUCUUUUGAAUUGUUCAUAUGGAGGAAGGGGGGAGGGGGGUUCAUUCGUAUAUAUUUUUAUUAUUGUUAUAGCUAGCAUGUUUUGUGACUUUUUAAGUUGAUUUGGAUUCAUGGCAAUGUAAUGCCAUAUGAAAUCUAAUGUAAAGCCUAUUUCAUUAUGUAUAUGUAAAGUCUUGGAAUUGAAUAUAUAUGGUGAAUGGUUUUAUUUAUAUAUGUUUGAGAUUUGAAACUAUAUUUGAUGAAUAUCAAAUAUCUAUGAAACUGUUGUGGACAAUUACAGGAUAAUUACAGGACAAUCAGAAUAUAUUUCUUUCCAUUACAGCAUAAUUCAAUUACAAUUUCUUUUUUUAAAAAAAAUUAAAAAAUGCUUGACGGUUUUAAAAUGUCACGAACAAUUGCAAGCUUGACGGUUUUAAACUGUCAUGAACAAUUGCAUUUUUACGGUUGACAAAUGUCAAAACAAUUACAUUCUUGACAGUUUUAAAAUGUCAUGAAUAGUAAAAUUCUUGACGGGUUUAAAAUGUCAUAAACCAGUUCAUCCUUGACGGCUUUAAAAUGUCAUAAACAAUACCAGUCCUGACGGUUCUAAAACGUCAUGAACAUAAGUAUAUUUGACGUUUAUAAAACGUCAACGUUCACUAUUCUUGACGUUUAAUCAACCGUCAAGAACUUUGCCUUUCUUGACGCUGGCUUCAACGACGUUUUUAAAACCGUCAAGAGAGCCGUCUCUUGAAGUUUAAAAACGUCAAGAGAGCCUGUUUUUGUAGUAGUGUUAUUUUGCCAUUUUCGCAAGUGUCCCUUAAUUGUAAUACAUGUAUAUGUGACAUAAUCUAAUCAAACUAACCAUAAAUGGACUUAAUGUAUCAGGUAUUAGGUGUAUCAGACGUGUAUAAGGUGUAUCAAAUGUACAUCAAUAACGAGGGCAUUUGUGACAUUUUACCUCUUGAUGUGUGAGCUGGUCUUUGUUUUUGUCACUUUCUCAAAUAAUAAAGUAUGUGUUCUAUGGACUUAAUUAUUAUAACUUAUUUUGCCAUUUUCGCAAGUGUCCCUUAAUUGUAAUACAUGUAUAUGUGACAUAAUCUAAUCAAACUAACUCAUAAAUGGACUUAAUCGAUCUCAUGGACCACGAAUUCUUCAAUUACUUGCAAAUUUGGUGAGUUCCUUCAAACAGUGGGCGAAGAGCUUAAUUUUGAGAGAGAGGAAAAGUCGUGAAGAGUAUAUGCGAGAGAGGGGGAACGUGCCAGAGAGCAUUUGCGAGAGAGCUAAAGACAGCGACGAUGUGGGAUGAAGUAAGGUUUUUUUCGGUCGUUGUUCACAGUGGGAUGAAAGCUUCGAAUUAUUUGUUUUAAAUCAAAAGGCGUAAUGAUUGAAGGAAAACAUUUAUUUUUUAUUAGGGUAAUUUUUAAUGACACAUAAUUUAUGUCAUUAAUUAACAAUGCGAAAAUUUUGUCAAGAAAACUCAAUUUGUGUCACGAAAAAUUUUGUAUUUUUAUUUUUAACGACACAUUUUAUUCCCUCAUGUCCCUUUUUCUUGAUUUCAAGUGUCAUUAAAACUUAUUGUUGAAUAAGAAAUUUUGAGACCAAUCACAAGUUGCCACAUCAUUUAUUAAGUUAAUGAUGAAAAGUACAAAUAAUUAAAUUUGGGACUAAUUAAAAUUGACAUAUGCUCCAAAUUAAAGAGUUGAAAAUAAAUAAAAUGGUCAUUCUAAUAAUGCCACAUGUUUUCAUAUUAAUAGUUGGAUUAAGUUAAUCAUUUUAGUUCAAUUAAAUAUUAUUUACUUGGACUAAGUUCAAUUAAGCCCAAAAAAUAAGCUUAAUUGAGCCCAAAGACUAAAUAUAACCUAAGUCCAUAUGGUUGAGCCCAUGCGUCUGGUCCAUGGACCAACUAGGUUCAAACCCAUAAAGCCCACCAGUGAACUCUAUAAAUAGAGGAAUUCUCCUCAUUUGUAGGGGUUGGAAAAUAUUGACUCUAGAAGAUCCAGAGAGAAUUCUUCAAAGAGCUAGAAGACUCCCUAACUCCUGAAGUUGACCAUCCUCGAAGAUUGAAGCUUCUUUAAAGAUACAAGCUUUCUUCCAAGGCUUCAACUUCAAGAACAUCACGUGCUUCGCUUCCUCCAAAUCAAGCUGAAGCAUCCAGUUGAGAGAGAAUCAGAGGAUCAAAUUCUAGAGAUUGAACCGCAUCGCAUCAAAUCAACAAAAAUACAACAUCAACUCAAGUUCAAGUCCACGAAUUAAAUUUCUCCAGAAAUCUCGUGCGAACAAAUUGGCACGCCCAGUGGGACCAUCUCUACCUCUCAUCUCUCUCUCAUCAUCUAGAUCUACAAGCAAAUCAAUGGCAUCAAAGAAAGUUGCAUCCAAAUCUUCAGCUGCAAGCGACACCUACACGGGACCUAUCACCUGUAGUCGUUCCAAGGGGAUCAUCCAAGGGCAAGACCAAGGUUCCGCCAUCGCGCAGAGCAUCCUGAAGCAAUUAAUGGAAUCUCCUAAAGCUGGAAUUGUCAUCAAGGAAAAUCCUCUAUAUAAUGAUUAUGAUUCUGCCUCUAGCAGGUCACUGAAAGAAGCACACCCAGAUGUGAUGUCCGUCAUGAUGGCUGAUGUAGCAGUCGAGACUGCCAUGGCGGAGAUGGAGAGAAAAUUAAUCUCCUGAUGAAGGUUGUUGAUGAACGAGACCACGAAAUUACAGCUUUAAAGGAGCAGAUGCAGACUCGUGAAACUCUGAAUCGAGUCAAACUUGUCGUUAAAGUUGAUGACAAAGGGAAGAACGUGGUACAAGAAAAUCAGCCACAACAACAAUCAACUUCUGUGGCUUCUCUCUCGGUUCAACAAUACAAGAUAUGAUCACAAACUCCAUCAGAGCACAAUAUGGAGGCCCAUCUCAGACUUCUUUCAUGUACUCUAAACCAUACACCAAAAGAAUCGACAACUUGAGAAUGCCGCUUGGAUAUCAGCCUCCAAAAUUCCAGCAGUUUGACGGAAAGGCAAUCCAAAACAGCACGUUGCUCACUUCGUCGAAACAUGUGAGAAUGCAGGAUCAAGAGGAGAUCAACUAGUCAGACAAUUUGUUCGAAGCUUGAAAGGAAAUGCUUUUGAAUGGUAUACUGAUCUGGAGCCAGAAAGCAUUGAGAGUUGGGAACAACUAGAAAAGGAGUUUCUCAAUCGCUUCUACAGCACCAGGCGUACUGUAAGCAUGAUGGAGCUUACAAAUACGAAACAAAGAAAGGGAGAACCAGUCAUCGACUACAUCAAUAGAUGGAGAGCUCUAAGUCUUGACUGUAAAGAUCGGCUCACCGAACUGUCGGCUGUAGAAAUGUGCACCCAAGGCAUGCACUGGGGACUCCUCUACAUUUUGCAGGGAAUAAAGCCCCGCACAUUUGAAGAACUGGCAACUCGAGCUCAUGAUAUGGAGUUGAGCAUCGCCAGUAGAGGAACUAAAGAUUUUCUUGUUCCUGAAGUAAAGAAAGAUAAGAAAGAGAUGAAAGGUGCUGAAAAGAUAGUGAAAAGCACCGCGAAAGAAUCUAUGGUCGUAAACACAACCCCGCUGAAAUUCUCCAAAGGAAAGGAAGCGAGGGUUGAAAAGAAGGAUGAUGGAAGCGAAAGGCGACGUCUGACUUUAAAAGAAAGGCAGGAAAAAGUUUACCCAUUUCCUGAUUCAGAUAUCGCUGACAUGCUAGAGCAACUACUAGAGAAGCAGCUGAUCCAGCUGCCAGAAUGUAAACGACCUGAGCAAGCAGGAAAGGUAGAUGAUCCCAAUUACUGCAAGUAUCAUCGGGUCAUCAGUCAUCCAGUAGAGAAAUGCUUCGUGCUGAAGGAGCUAAUUCUAAGGUUGGCUCGUGAGAAAAGGAUUGAGCUAGAUUUGGAGGAAGUAGCUCAAACAAACCACGCUGAAGUGACGAUAAUGUCUGAGGCUUCUUCGUCGAGAUUGAUUUUUGAGCAAAGGAAAAGCUUGGUCCAGUUCGGGACCUUUGAGCCUAUAGUUGUCCAAUUCUUUCAGGAAAUCUCAUACGAGGAUCCUCAAGGAGAGAAAAGACCAAUCGAAGAAGACGAUGAAGGGUGGAUAGUGGUGACCCACCGAAAGAAAAGACAGUCGAUCCCGACCCAAAGAGAGUCUCGCUCUUACCAAAACUAUAGAAGAGGAAAUAAGACUCAAAAGAAUAAGAAAAAGAAGAAGACUCAUAAGCUUAAGCUCGUACAUAAUGAAGACAUGAAUUUCUCUCGACCUCAACGCUUAGUGACCUUGCAGACUUCCUUCCAAAAAGCUUCCUUUGUGAUCAUCAGGAUGAAGACCCAGAAGUCGUUGCGUGUCAUGCUAUCAACACAACGGAGGAAGAAAUAAUCCCUCCAAGAUCACUAGAAGGAGAGGGAGUAUCAAAAGACCUUUCAAGGUUUAAUGUAGAGGAUCUAUUAUCACUUCCUCAAGAGACCAAAACCAUCCUUAUUGAUGCAUUGCUAAAUUCAAGAGCAUCAAGUUCGAGUACUCCGACUAUGACAUAUGAGAGUGGUUCUUAUUGUAUGUCUAUAGACUUCUCAGAUGAGGAUUUGUUGUUGGGAUCUAAACUUCAUAAUAGACCUUUGUAUGUUUCUGGAUACGUUCGAGAACAGAGAGUCGAUCGAAUCCUCAUUGAUAAUGGCUCAGCUGUCAACAUAAUGCCAAAGUCGACUAUGUGGCAAUUAGGCAUCUUGAUGGACGAGCUCUCAAAUAGCAAGCUAGUAAUUCAAGGUUUUAACCAAGGUAGCCAAAGAGCAAUAGGCAUGAUACGGUUAGAACUCAUAAUUGGCGACCUAAAGGCCAGUGCAUUGUUUCAUGUCAUAGACUCAAGGACUACUUACAAGUUGUUACUAGGGCGUCCUUGGAUUCAUGGAAACGGAGUAGUAACUUCAACACUGCAUCAGUGCUUCAAAUUUUAUCAGGACGGUGUAAAGAAGGUUGAAGCCGACUCUAAUCCAUUCUCAGAAGCUGAGUCUCACUUCGCAGAUGCAAAGUUUUAUUCAAAGAAUAAUAAUAUUUUAGAAGUUUUGCCUGCAGAAACCCCUCUUACAAAAGGAGAAGAUAAUUCACAACUGAAAUCACUCGCAACCACAGAACCACAUGAAAGUGCGAGAACCUUUAACUCUGGAAAGGGUGAAGCAUACACUAGCAGCACAAAGGGUAUGAUCUUGAAGGAUGAAAAUGCUGCAAACACACCAGUUUUGCGUUAUGUCCCUCUGUCAAGGCGCAAGAAAGGCGAAUCACCAUUCAUGGAGUCUCCAAAAGGUUUGAAAGUUGGUGACAUCGAAAUCAUAAAAGAAAGCUUCACUACACCACUAACUAAGAUAGCGAAGCAGGAGGUAAAGGUAGAUCUGGUGGAAGCAAACUUGCCCCAAAGGCGAACGAAAGACGGAUUCGACCCCAAGGCUUACAAAUUGAUGGCGAAAGCAGGUUAUGACUUCACAGCUCACACCGAGUUUAAAAGCUUGGAAAUUCAUGACCGACCUGAGCUCUCCUCAACUCAAAAGAAGCUUCUACGGAAGGACAUUCUAUACCCGUGUCGAGAAAAGGACUCGGAUACAAGUCGCCAGAACCGAUCCGUAUAACUAAAAAGGGAAGGAAAAAGUGGUUGACAUCAAUCAUAUAACUAUAGAGGAUGACAAUACUGACGUAAAAGAAGGUGAUAAUCAGAGAAUCUCAGUAUUUGAUCGAAUUAGACCAUCUGUUGCACGUCCCGUAGUAUUUGAAAGGCUAAGCAUGACAGAGGCAGAAAGAGAAAGGCUCCAGUCAGUACCAAACCUUGAGAGACAUUCGGUCUUUCGAAGGCUAACUACGACUCCCAUAAAGGAAGAAAGCACAUGCCAUGCCUUGACAACUACAAGACCAUCAGCCUUUGAAAGGCUAGGUGUGUCUAAAAAAAAAAUGUACAAGCACCCCGUGCUCCGAUUUUUAAUCAUCUCGGGGAUAAAGGAUCACACGACAACAUUGAUUCCAACAUAGCAAAGAAGAAGGAACCAAUGUCUCGUGUGAAAGUUUGGCGUCGAAUUAAGCAUACAGAUGUCGAUAAUUAUCGUAGUAAGAAGUUUCCUUGCGAGACAAAGGAAAAUGGAGAAAUUCAUAGCAACGUUCCUUCUCGCAUGAAAAGAAAAACUUUUGUUACUCUCAAUACAAGUCAAGGUUCGUUAAAGGUAAAAAGACAUGAUGUUAUACUAACGAAUCCUGAAAAAGAAGGGUCGGAACAAGGGGAAGGUGAAACUUCAUGUCAUCACAUCACCAUUAUUGAGGAAUCAGAGACUGGAACUCAUGAAGAAGACGCAGAAAAUGCCCCACAAAGUUUAGAGGAUGGUGGUCAAUCUACUGUAGACGAGCUAAAAGAGGUGAACCUUGGUACAAUAGAGGAACCACGUCCGACUUUCAUUAGUGCGUCCCUCUCUAACGAAGAGGUGGAUAAAUAUAUGAGUUUGCUCACCGAAUACAGGGACAUCUUUGCGUGGUCGUACAAGGAGAUGCCAGGACUUGACCCAAAAGUAGCAGUCCAUCAUCUUGCAAUUAAACCGGAUAUCGACCGAUUAAACAAGCACAACGACGUUUUCGACCGGAGCUUAUCCCUCAAAUCGAGGUGGAAGUCAACAAGUUGAUCGAAGCAGGAUUCAUUCGCGAGGUCAAAUAUCCAACGUGGAUAGCAAACAUUGUCCCUGUUAGAAAAAAAAAUGGACAACUUCGCGUUUGUGUAGACUUUCGCGAUCUGAAUAAUGCAUGCCCUAAAGAUGAUUUUCCCUUGCCCAUCACCGAAAUCAUGGUUGAUGCAACUACUGGACACGAGGCGUUGUCGUUUAUGGAUGGGUCGUCUGGAUAUAAUCAAAUACGGAUGGCCCUCUCAGAUGAAGAAAUGACAGCUUUCAGAACUCCAAAGGGAAUAUACUGUUACAAGGUGAUGCCCUUUGGAUUGAAAAAUGCCGCGCUACUUAUCAACGUGCCAUGCAGAAAGUGUUUGAUGAUAUGUUGCACAGGUAUGUUGAAUGUUAUGUUGAUGAUCUUGUAGUCAAAACAAAGAGACGACAAGACCAUUUGAAGGAUCUAAAAGUCGUGUUUGAUCGCUUGCGAAAAUAUCAGCUAAGGAUGAACCCUCUCAAGUGUGCGUUUGGUGUAACUUCAGGAAAAUUUCUUGGCUUCAUUGUAAGGCAUCGAGGGAUCGAAAAUAGACCAGUCCAAGAUUGAUGCCAUUCAGAAGAUGUCAAGACCUAAAAGUUUGCAUGACCUAAGAAGUCUCCAAGGACGACUGGCUUACAUCCGAAGGUUCAUCUCUAACUUGGCCGGUCGGUGUCAACCUUUUCAAAAGUUGAUGAGAAAAGGAGAAAAUUUUGUGUGGGAUGAAGCUUGUCAGAACGCUUUUGAUAGCAUAAAGAAAUACUUGCUUACUCCCCCAGUGCUGGGAGCUCCAGUACCUGACAAACCACUAAUAUUGUACAUUGCUGCACAAGAAAGGUCCUUAGGAGCAUUACUGGCACAAGAAGAGGUAAAGGGAAAGGAGCGUUCUCUCUACUAUCUAAGCAGAACAUUAAUUGGGGCUGAAGUUAACUAUUCUCCUAUCGAAAAGAUGUGUCUUGCACUUUUCUUUGCCAUUGAUAAGUUGAGGCAUUAUAUGCAGGCCUUCACGGUUCAUCUAGUGGCAAAAGCAGACCCUAUAAAGUAUGUUCUAUCCAGGCCAAUCAUCGCUGGACGCUUAGCCAAAUGGGCGGUUCUACUCCAACAAUAUGACAUUGUCUAUAUUCCCCAAAAGGCGAUAAAAGGACAAGCGCUAGCAGACUUUUUAGCAGACCACCCAAUUCCUUCGGAUUGGAAGUUAUGUGAUGACCUACCAGACGAUGAGGUUUUCUUCACAGAAGUUAUGGAACCUUGGACUAUGUACUUCGAUGGUGCAGCUCGAAGAAGUGGUGCGGGGGCAGGCAUUGUCCUCAUUUCUCCUGAGAAGCAUAUGUUGCCUUAUAGCUUUGCACUUUCCGAAUUGUGUUCAAACAAUGUGGCUGAAUAUCAGGCUUUGAUAAUUGGCCUUCAAAUAGCAUUAGAAAUCGGAGUGUCAUUCAUAGAGGUCUAUGGUGAUUCAAAAUUGAUAAUCAAUCAACUCUCGCUUCAAUAUGACGUGAAACAUGAAGACUUGAAGCCAUAUUUUGCUUAUGCUCGACAAUUGAUGGAAAAGUUUGAUAAUGUGAUGUUAGAACAUGUCCCUAGAGUAGAAAAUAAGAGAGCGGAUGCAUUGGCAAAUUUAGCCACGGCCUUGACCAUGCCAGAUGAUGUAACUCUGAACAUACCACUUUGUCAACGAUGGAUUAUACCCCCAGUUAGGCCUGAAUGUCAGGAAGUGAACAUGGCAACAUCCUAUUUGAUUGAUGAAGAAGAUUGGCGUCAACCCAUCAUAGAGUAUCUUGAACAUGGAAAGCUUCCAAAGGAUUCUCGUCAUAAAAUUGAGAUACGAAGAAGGGCAGCACACUUCAUUUAUUACAAGGGAACUUUAUAUCGCCGUUUUCUUGAAGGGCUCUUCCUUCGAUGUCUCGGAAAGGAAGAUUCGGUAAAAGCUCUAAAGGAAGUACAUGCAGGUGUUUGUGGAGCACAUCAAUCGGGACCAAAGCUUCAAUUCCAGCUAAGAAGAAUGGGCUACUACUGGCCUAAGAUGAUCCAAGAUUCAAUAGACUAUGUGAAGAAGUGUGAGCCUUGUCAAUACCAUGCAAACUUCAUACACCAACCUCCAGAACCUCUUCAUCCAACUGUGGCUUCUUGGCCUUUUGAGGCUUGGGGACUCGAUCUGGUUGGCCCCAUUACACCAAAAUCAUCAGCAGGACAUUCUUAUAUCCUAGCAGCAACAGACUAUUUUUCAAGGUGGGCUGAGGCCAUUUCAUUGAGAGAAGCCAAGAAGGAGAACGUGGCAGACUUUAUUCGAACACACAUCAUCUAUCGAUACGGUAUUCCACAUCGAAUCGUGACGGAUAAUGGAAAGCAAUUCUCCAAUAGUAUGAUGGACAAGUUAUGUGAAAAAUUCAAAUUCAAGCAAUAUAAGUCAUCCAUGUACAACGCAGCUGCGAAUGGACUAGCAGAAGCAUUCAACAAAACAUUGUGUAAUCUUUUAAAGAAAAUUGUCUCCAAGUCAAAGAGGGAUUGGCAAGAAAAGAUCGGCGAGGCAUUAUGGGCUUAUCGGACGACUCAUCGCACCCCUACAGGGGUUACACCAUAUUCGCUUAUUUACGGUGUGGAGGCUGUCCUUCCUCUCGAAAGGGAAAUUCCGUCACUAAGAAUGGCAGUACAAGAGGGAUUGACUACCGAAGAUAAUGUGAAGUUACGUCUUCAAGAAUUAGAAGCACUUGACGAAAAGCGAUUAGAGGCUCAGCAAGCAUUGGAAUGUUAUCAAGCGAGAAUGUCCAAAGCUUUUGAUAAACACGUUAAACCUCGCUCCUUUCAAGUCGGUGAUCUAGUACUUGCCGUAAGGAGACCGAUCAUCACAACAAGGCAUACAGGAAAUAAGUUCACACCUAAAUGGGAUGGACCUUACAUUGUUAAAGAAGUUUAUACAAAUGGCGCAUACAAGAUCGUUGAUCAAGACGGACUACGAAUUGGCCCAAUCAAUGGUAAAUUUCUUAAAAAAUUUAUGCUUAAUUUUGUUAGGUAAAAAAAAAAAAAAAAAAGUUGAACUACGUUAUGACUUGAUCCCUAUAUUAUAAAGGGUACGUAGGCAGCUUAAGGAAAACCUUAAGCCCAGUCCAGCAAAAAAAAAGUUGAACUACGUUAUGACUUGAUCCCUAUAUUAUAAAGGGUACGUAGGCAGCUUAAAGAAAACCUUAAGCCCAGUCCAGCAAAAAAAAAAAGUUGAACUAUGUUAUGACUUGAUCCCUAUAUUAUAAAAGGCAGCUUAAAGGAAACUUUAAGUUCAGUCCAAUAAAAAAAAAAGGAAGAAAGACAAAUUACAUUUAAUAGAAAAUAUGAUGAGGAGUGGAACAAUGAAAGAAUAAUUUUUUUUUUAUUAUUAUUAUAAACUUCUAGCAAAAAAAAAUUAAAAAGGCAUAAGUAGAUAAAUAAGAGAAAGCAGAGAAUCAUGGAGUCCAUUUAAAGUUCUUCAGCUCCUCUAGUGUGCUUUCUAAAGAUUCACGAAGUGUUGAUAGCAUUUUAGCAUCAAUAUCUCCAACGAUCGGGGCACAUUCGAGUUUGUCAAUUUCCUCACAAGUCUUCGAAAUCUCAUGUUGCUUCUGCUUCAGCUCCAGGUCGUUCUUAAAAAUUAUUCCAGAAAGUUUAGCAGACUCAACCCGCACCAUCUUUAGUUUUGCCUCUAGUUUAGCCUCCUUAGCGGACAGUCGUGUAAGACGACGUUUAGCAGUGUUGGUCUCUGCUAAUAUACGAUUCUCAUCAACUCGCAGAGUCUUCACAAAACCUUUUGCCUCCGUUAGCUGAACAUCCUUAGUUGAUUGGAGUGGAAAUGAGGAAUGUAUUUGAUUAUGGUUCUCGACACCUUGGAAGUAACCAUUCACAAGCUCCCUCAAAACAAUAAGGUUGUCGCUGCCGUUAGUCGCAAUCGCAUCAAAGAUCUUAUGCAUUUCUGGUUCAAGACUACUCAGUCGUUCAAAAGGGGUACGAAUGAUCUUCUGUCGUAGGUUUUCCCAUAAGGUUAUGGCAGCCUGUCGUCGGAGGUCAGAAAUUAAGCUGUCAGCACAAAAAUGAGAAAUCUCAGAAACUGUAAUAGGCUCUGUGCCUUCCACUUUUUGAGGAGGUCCCUUGAUCACAGGAGGACAAGCAGACACAAUAUUUGCGCCUAUAGGUUCCUUAGAGUUCCCAUUAUAAGAAAGUACAACGUUACAGUCUUCUAGAUUCAGCAUCAACUCUAGGGUAUCUUCGAUGUGUAGGUCAUGAUCACCUAAAGAAUACUACAAAAUAAUAUUAACAACAAGAAAUAAGGGGAGUAAAGGAGAGAAAAUACAAUCAAUAAAUAAAUAAAAUUGGGAGACGAAAAGAAACCAUGGGGGAAGGGACAUCGAAAAAUUGUGCAGCAUCAGGGACCCGAAUAGGAGACUCUUCAUCAUCGAUCGACUGUUUGUUAGGCUUCUUGGGUCUCUUCCAAUGGCGAUCAUCAUUGCUGCUUUGACUGUCCUCAAUACGUUUAGAAGGAUGCUUGGUAGCUAUCGAUAAGCGGUUGUCCUUACCCAUAUUGUCAAUACCACCUUUAAUAAGAUGUUUAAAUCGUGUAGAAAGAGACAAAUUAUCCACCAAGCGUUUUGUCCCUCCCUCAAUUUUCUCCACAAGUCGUUCAUCAGUUUCAUCGGAGCAUAUCUUCUGAUUUCCACUACCAAAAUUAUGUUCAAUCUUUUUUGUGGUUUUGGAUUUGAUGUGAGGGGGAGUAGGACGAUCUAUCAAAUGUUGUACUCCUUCUUGGAGGUAAUCACCGUGUUUUGCAAGCCACCAGACCUUAUAAUGAGAGGUAACAUGUGUGUCUGGAUUAGGGGCAGACACAGGAAGAUAUACUUGGGAAAGUGUAUUCUCGCGAAUACAAAUCAUCCAACAAUAUCGUACGUUAAAAAAAUUGGCUUCGGGAAUUUCUUCACCUAAGUCAUAUGGCACGUCUUGAUAAAAUCCAAAUGGUCGGCUAAAGCGACAAGGACUAUAAGGCUCAAUAACUGUGGAGGAUCCACAUUGCGAGGAUAGAAAACAAGAGCAAAUGCUUAUGAAAAAUGAAGCAUUCUAACUAAUUAACUCUCCAUCAUCCGUUAAGAGUUCGUCCUUAUUCUUUGUUGGAAGACACGCAUGCCAUGACACAUACUUUCCCUUGUGGAUAUGUGUUCGAGCCUCAAGAUUAGUAUAAUAUUUGGCCCCACCUUCACCAGAAAAUUCAACCAUGCGAGGACCCCUAAGACUCCUAGGGGCUUUAUAAUGAGUGUUGAAGUAAAGAGCAAGCCACCCAUGGACAUAGUGAAGAGGAAAACAGGCAUUUGAAUAACCAAGUGAUGAAGUAGAAUCAUGAACUUGGCGUAGGCCACUAUAAAUAUUAGCUAAAACAGGGACGGCAAGGCUAAAUGUGUAGCCUUCCGCCAUGAGGCUAGCAACCUUAAAAACCUCCGGACGAAGGGAAAGUUGCUUAUCAGGGAACACAAACACACAUAGCCAACAAGAGAGAAAUGCCGCUAGAUAGGUUUUGUCCCUAUGAUCAUCAGUGACGCUUAAGUCAAGGAACACUUUGAGUUCAGCUUUAGACCAGUCAGGACGUCUGAUGGGAAUUCCAUCUGGAUUAUGAGUUGAGCGAGGGCGAGAAGUCUUUUUAGGCUUUCGAGGAGGCGGUUUCGAAUACUUUACCUCAGAUCGUGUAACCCAAAAAGAGAUCCAUUCACUUACAGUGAUUUGAGAGUGAUCCAUGCGUUGAGAAACAAUGCGGUAAUAGGCUGCAAAUAAAUGCUCACAACUUCUUGGACAUACAUCAGGUGAUCCUAUUAAGUCUUGGUGGCAAGGAAUGCUUUCUUCAUAAAAUCUACCUUUAAUCGGGAGUCCUCCUAGUAUCCAUAAGUCCCAUAAGGAGAUGGACAUCUCACCAGCUGAGGUGUGAAGAGUGUUUGUUGAAGGACACCAUGCCUCGCAGAAAGCCCGAUCAAUGUCACUGUUGCGAUCAUAUGUAUAUAGGGAAGCCAUCACAGCAUUAAAUAGGGAGGCUCGCUUGAGUACUGCCGUAUUUCUAGCAACAACGAGCUCUAACCACUCCCAAUAAUGAGGAAGAUAGUAAAAUUCUCCAUGUACCUUGAGCACAUUUCCCCAACGAAUUUUUGGGUCGUUUAUAAUUCGACGACCCAACGUUGAUUCUGGAUCCUCAUUUGGAGGCUUGUUGUGAAUCGAAGACUCCAGAAACCAAGAUUUUAAAGAUGAAUUUGGAUUUACAAACCGUUCCUUGGACCAUUUAGGCAAAAAGAUAAAAUUGUCCUCGGGUAUUUGAGAGUCCAUAAUAUUCUCAUAUGUCCCCUCUCUCACAGGAAGAAUGAUCCCUUCCUCUAAAGAUUGAUCUACGUCCUUCAGGAUAAUUAAACACCUUUUGGUCGAGUCAGAAUACUCAGUGAAGUGCACCAUGAUGAAAAGAAGAGUUCCUGCAAAAUAAUAAUAAUAAUAAGAAGAAGAAGAAAUAGAAAAAAAAAAAAAAACCAAAACAAAAAAAAAAAAAAAAAAAAAAAAAAAAAAAAAAAAAAAAAAAAAAAAGAAAGAAGAAAAAAAAAAGAAAGAAAGAAGAAAAAAGGGGGGGGAAGAAAAAGCAAAUGGAGAUUGAAGCCCGACGAUGACAGAGUCGAUCUCUCCUACUAGGGCGAUAGAUCUGACGGCAAAAGCCCGAUCGUCCCUAGAAGAAGCUCAACAAAGUCAUUUCUGCAAACGAAGAUCGAAGCCCGACGAUGACAGAGUCGAUCUCUCCUACUAGGGCGAUAGAUCUGACGGCAAAAGCCCGAUCGUCCCUAGAAGAAGCUCAACAAAGUCAUUUCUGCAAACGAAGAUUGAAGCCCGACGAUGACAGAGUCGAUCUCUCCUACUAGGGCGAUAGAUCUGACGGCAAAAGCCCGAUCGUCCCUAGAAGAAGCUCAACAAAGUCAUUUCUGCAAACGAAGAUUGAAGCCCGACGAUGACAGAGUCGAUCUCUCUAACUAGGGCGAUAGAUCUGACGGCAAAAGCCCGAUCGUCCCUAGAAGAAGCUCAACAAAGUCAUUUCUGCAAACGAAGAUCGAAGCCCGACGAUGACAGAGUCGAUCUCUCCUACUAGGGCGAUAGAUCUGACGGCAAAAGCCCGAUCGUCCCUAGAAGAAGCUCAACAAAGUCAUUUCUGCAAACGAAGAUUGAAGCCCGACGAUGACAGAGUCGAUCUCUCCAACUAGGGCGAUAGAUCUGACGGCAAAAGCCCGAUCGUCCCUAGAAGAAGCUCAACAAAGUCAUUUCUGCAAACGAAGAUCGAGGCCCGACGAUGACAGAGUCGAUCUCUCCAACUAGGGCGAUAGAUCUGACGGCAAAAGCCCGAUCGUCCCUAGAAGAAGCUCGACAAAGUCAUUCCUGCAAAAAAAAAAAAAAACAAAAACAAAAACAAAACAACACAAAAAAAAAAAAAAAAAAACAAACAAAAAAACAAAACAAAAUAGAAUAAAAAAAAAAACACACACACACACAAAAAAAAGAGAAAAAAAAAAAAAGAGAAAGGGAGAAGAAAAGUUUUCUAUACCUUUCUGCCGAUUGGAUGAGGAAUAAGCGUUGGAUGAGGUAUAAGUGAGUAGGGUAUGAGUCUAUUUAUAAGCCCAACAAAUCCAGUUCCUAAAAGGAUUAGGAAUGAUAUUUAAUUAUUUUUUUUUAAAAAAAAAAACAAAUCCAAUUCCUAAAAGAAAUAGGAAUGAUUUUUAAAAAAUAUAUAUAUAUAAAGAAAAGAUAAUCCAAUUAUCUUAUUUUUAUUUUAAAUUAUUUCUUUUUUUUUUUGGAUAAAUCUCAAGUUUAACUUUUAUUGAGAUAUUUAAAAUAUUUAAAAAUGUUGAAAUUUUUAAAUAUUUUAAAUAUAUAUAUAUAUAUAUAUUCUCAAUUCCAAAAUUCAAGUUAAAUUAACUUGCAUAUAUGAUCUCCUUUUUAUCAUGAAUUUAAAUCGGAGCCAUAAAUCCAACUUUACCUAAGAUUGAGGACCUGAUUUUUUUUUGUCAUUCCAAAUUCUUAUGCAUCCCCAAGAUAAAUUAAGGUACGGUAGAAACCUUAUCCUUAUUUCAAAAUUAAAAUUUUGGUUAUAUUCCAAAUUUUACUUAAAAAAAAGUCAUCAUAUUAAUUUUUUUUUUUCCCUCAAAUAAAAUUAAGUGGGAAAUAAAACUUUGAAUUUUUUUUAAGGUUUGGCCAUAUUCCAACCCUUAUUUUAAAUUUAAAUCAAACUCACGUACUAAAUUCAUGGUUUGAUUAAUUUGAUAUGUUGAAUUGAGUAAAAAAAAAAAAAGGGCUCGUACUUUGACUUCAAAUUUAUCUUUUCCGAGAUUCAUUCACCCAUAUACGUGCAUAAAUCUCGAAAAGGGGGCAUUUGUUGAAUAAGAAAUUUUGAGACCAAUCACAAGUUGCCACAUCAUUUAUUAAGUUAAUGAUGAAAAGUACAAAUAAUUAAAUUUGGGACUAAUUAAAAUUGACACAUGCUCCAAAUUAAAGAGUUAAAAUAAAUAAAUUGGUCAUUCUAAGAAUGCCACAUGUUUUCAUAUUAAUCGUUGGAUUAAGUUAAUCAUUUUAGUUCAAUUAAAUAUUAUUUACUUGGACUAAGUUCAAUUAAGCCAAAAAAAAUAAGCUUAAUUGAGCCCAAAGACUAAAUAUAACCUAAGUCCAUAUGGUUGAGCCCAUGGGUCUGGUCCAUGGACCAACCAAGUUCAAACCCAUAAAGCCCACCAGUGAACUCUAUAAAUAGAGAAAUUCUCCUCAUUUGUAGGGGUUGGAAAAUUUUGACUCUAGAAGAUCUAAAGAGAAUUCUUCCAAGAGCUAGAAGACUCCCUAACUUCUGAAGUUGACCACCCUCGAAGAUUAAAGCUGUUUUGAAGAUACAAACUUUCUUCCAAGACUCCAACUUCAAGAACAUCACGUGCUCCGCUUCCUCAAAUCAAGCGUAAGCAUUCAACCAACUUCAAGAACAUCACGUGCUCCGCUUCCUCAAAUCAAGCGUAAGCAUUCAACCAACUUGAAGAACAUCACGUGCUCCGCUUCUCCAAAUCAAGCGUAGACGUUCAACAAACUUCAAGAACAUCACGUGCUCCGCUUCCUCCAAAUCAAGCGUAGACAUACAGUUGAGAGAGAAUCAGAGGAUCAAAUUCUAGAGAUUGAACCGCAUCGCAUCAAAUCAACAAAAAUACAACAUCAACCCAAGUUUAAGUCCACGAAUUAAAUUUCUCCGGAAAUCUCGUGCGAACAAGCUCAUAACACAUUUUUUUUGCAUAUUGCAAAAUUGACAAAUAUGACGGUAAUUAGAUGGUAAUCUGACGGUAAUCUGCUUUUAAAUUUGCAAUUUUAAAAAUGUAAGUGAUAUAAACUCUAUUAUCAUAAUUUUUUUUUUAUAUUUUUGCAAACUCUCCAUUAUUUUAUUCAAAUAAAAUAAAUUUUAACCUAAUUGGCUUUGCAAAUUAUGUAUAUUUAUCUAACCCAUACAAAGCGAGUGACAAGGGAUGAAAUGUAUGUAUAAUAUGUAAGUAGUAAAGUCGUUUAAAGAACAAUUAUGCAGCAAUAUAUGCUAAUUAUUAUAUGAAAAAUGGAACAUUAGUUGCAAGUGAAAACAAUUAGAAAAAGGGUAGGAACUUACCAAUUCACUUUGACAAAAGAUUGUUAGACAAACUAAGAAAGCAUUAAAAGAUCAAGCAACAAAUUUCAAGAAUCUUGUUCUGACAAGUAAUAAGUGGAUUUUAAGUUGUUCCAAUUCAAGACAAUGUGAUAUGUGAAAAAAAUUACUCAAUUAAUAAAAAGUGAAGAUAAGAGUAAUUAGGCAUUUGAGGGUUUUCUUCAUCGUUCCAAAAAUAAAAGGUAAAGUAAUGAUUUAAGGGAUUUCAUGAGCUGUUGGUCAAAUUAAUUUUGGAUCAAAUUGCUUGAAUUCCAAAGUUAAUUUGUUCAAGAUUCACACGUUAUUACACACCACAAAUCAAACAAAUAUGCACAACAGAAAUUGGUUCAAUCACACAUCAUUUGUUCAACAAAAAAUGAGGGUGUGAAUCUUUAUUUCAAGAACUAGCAAAAUAAGAGAUUGCCAAUUACAAUGCUAAAGAAAUGAUGUUAGAAUUAAAAGAUCAUCAAUCUACCAUGUUUACUUUAAAUUCACAAAAAAAAAAAAACGCAUAUUACAUAUUUGGAAAUUGAAGACAAAUUGAGUUCAAAGAAAUUAAAUUAGCCAAGAGAAAAGAUACUAUUGAACACAAUUUGUACAGAAAUUUAAAGUAAAUCUACCAACCUCAAUCAAAACUACAAACAAGAAUCAUCACAUAAUCAAGAAUUAUUCAAGAACUCAACAAUUCUCAACUUUAUUUCUUAAAAUGAGUACAUUGCAUACAAAGCAAAAUAUUGCUUGAAUUAAUCAAGAAUCAUUACUAUACAAGAAGAAAUGAAUUACAACAAUUAUGCAAGAAAGCAAAAGUAGUAAUUCUCCAAGAAAAAAAAGCAAAAGUUACACAAAUUCUUACAAAAAAAAAAAAAAAGAAAAAAAAAGAAGUAAAAUCUUCUCAAGAAAAUUCAACACUAAUUACUCUUUACUGGUGAUGAUUACGACUCCUUGUAUGAUCAAAAUUCUACUAGAAAUUUUGUGAGAAAAAGUGGAAGAAUGGAAAGGAAAGAGUUAUGAAAAAAUGAAAGGGUAUUGAAACAAUGAAAUUUAGAGAGGAUUUGAGUGAAAAUUAGAGUUGAAUUGUUGAAUUGAUGAGGCAAGAAAUUUUGACCAAUUAAAUUAUGUCACAUCAUAGUAAAGAUGAUCCAAUAAACAAAUGGGCUCAAGUCCAAUUUCAAGAAGUAGAUGGACCCAAGUCCAAGUCCAAGCCCAAUUCACAAAUGGGUUCAAGUCCAAGUCCAACAAGCAAAUGGACCGAAGUCCAAACCCACCAAGCAAAUGAGUCCAAGCCCAGUUCAAGCCUAUAAAAUUUCUCUAUAAAUAGAGAUCAUUGCUAUUCAUUUUAGGAGUCCUUAGUUGAAAGAAGAAUUGAAGUUUUGAAUAAUUAAAGAUUCAAACUUCUACAAGCUCUCAAGACGUGCAAGUUCAUAUCAACCUUGACACUACUAGAAAAGUGGUAUACGACGUCAGUUAUUUACUGUCGUAAAUGAAAUUCGCGACAGUUAUUUUUCAGUCAUAGAAUCGGGAGUCAUGUAAAGUCCUUCGAAACCUUGACACUACUAGAAAAGUGGUAUACGACGUCAGUUAUUUACUGUCGUAAAUGAAAUUCGCGACAGUUAUUUUUCAGUCAUAGAAUCGGGAGUCAUGUAAAGUCCUUCGAUGACAGUUUUUAAAAACUGUCGUAAUAAGUUAUUUUAUGACAUGAAAUAAAUGUCGUUAAUCAGAAUUCAACGACGUCAAAUAACUGUCAUAUUUUAUUUUAUGACAACAAAUAACUAUCAUCAUUUGCGUAUUAACGACGGUUAAAUAAUUGUCAUGAAUAUGUUAAUCGCGACAGUUUUUUUGUAUAAAAAUGUCAUUGUUUUGCUAUUGACGACAUUUUUUUCUAAUCACAUAUAAGACAAUCGUGACAAUUUAUUUUAUUAAACAACUGUCAUCGUUUUCGGAUUGACAACAAUUAAUAACUGUCACAAAUUCAUUUAUUACGUCAUUUAUUUUCUGUUGCAAAUUUCUCAAUUUACUACAGUUUUUUCCUGUUCUCCUUGCCGCUCCACCAUUACACGAACCAUUUGAAUGACAAUAAUGUAGCUGAGAAUGACAAUUUUGAAUUUAUAAUAUUGACACCCAUAUACAAAAAAAGUAACCAACACUUUAAUAUAUAUACGAUAUAAUACAAUUUAUAAUAUUCGUACAUUUCCAAUCAAGUGUCAACAAUUUACAAGUACGGAAUCCCAACCCUUAAUCAAAAAAUAUUUUAAAUAGUAUUAGAAUACAUCUAACAAGAUUUUCUGCAGAAGCAUAAACGACCAACCGAGAAUGUUCGUCUCUGAAAAUGUUCUUUGAAAGAAAACUCAAGAAGUUGUCGAAUCCGAUUGAACCUACAAAGACAACAUGAAUAUAAGCAUCCAUAACACAUACAUUUGUGAACCAACAUUACCACAACAAAGAAGAAAAUGGAGGACUACCAUGUAGUAAUGUGAAUGUAAAAGAAACAUUAUAUAUAUUAUGAAUCUUGUUUCUAAUCAAGAACUUAUUUCCUAACCAUGUACUUGAUGAGCGUUUGUAGAAUUUAAUAUCAGCAACCAAACCUCAACCCUAUCUAGUGCUUUAUGCACACAUACACACACACUUGAACUCUCUAUAUUUCUCUCUUUUUGUCUCCAUGAAUAAUGAGAAGCCAAUACAAACAGAUGAAUUCUUUGUUUGGUUCUCUUUCUCUAUCUCGAUGUUGGGGAAAAGCUAAAUAUUUGAGGCAUUGAUUUCAGGAAUUGGUGCAAGGAAUUGGUGCAAGGGUUUGAUCAGGAGGCUGCUGCAGUUGUUUUGGUUGCUGAUAUUAAAUUCUAAAAAUGCUCAUCAAGUACAUGGUUAGGAAAUAAGUUCUUGAUUAGAAACAAGAUUCAUAAUAUAUAUAAUGUUUCUUUUACAUUCACAUUACUACAUGGUAGUCCUCCAUUUUCUUCUUUGUUGUGGUAAUGUUGGUUCACAAAUGUAUGUGUUAUGGAUGCCUAUAUUCAUGUUGUCUUUGUAGGUUCAGCCGGAGUCGACAACUUCAUGAGUUUUCUUUCAAAGAACAUUUUCAGAGACGAACAUUCUCGGUUGGUCGUUUAUGCUUUUGCAGAAAAUCUUGUUAGAUGUAUUCUAAUGCUAUUUAAAAUAUUUUUUGAUUAAGGGUUGGGAUUCCGUACUUGUAAAUUGUUGACACUUGAUUGGAAAUGUACGAAUAUUAUAAAUUGUAUUAUAUCGUAUAUAUAUUAAAGUGUUGGUUACUUUUUUUGUAUAUGGGUGUCAAUAUUAUAAAUUCAAAAUUGUCAUUCUCAGCUACAUUAUUGUCAUUCAAAUGGUUCGUGUAAUGGUGGAGCGGCAAGGAGAACAGGAAAAAACUGUAGUAAAUUGAGAAAUUUGCAACAGAAAAUAAAUGACGUAAUAAAUGAAUUUGUGACAGUUAUUAAUUGUUGUCAAUCUGAAAACGAUGACAAUUGUUUAAUAAAAUAAAUUGUCACGAUUGCCCUAUAUGUGACAGGAAAAAAAUGUCGUCAAUAGCAAAACAAUGACAUUUUUAUAUAGAAAAACUGUCCCGAUUAACAUAUUCAUGACAAUUAAAAAAUGUCACAAUAAAUGAAUUCACGACAUUUAUUUAACCGUCGUUAAUACACAAAUGAUGAUAGUUAUUUGUUGUCAUAAAAUAAAAUAUGACAGUUAUUUGACGUCGUUGAAUUCUGAUUAACGACAUUUAUUUCAUGUCAUAAAAUAACUUAUUGCGACAGUUUUUAAAAACUGUCAUCGAAGGACUUUCCAUGACUCCCGCUUCUAUGACUGAAAAUAACUGUCGCGAAUUUCGUUUACGACAGUAAAUAACUGUCGUCGUAGACCACUUUUCUACUAGUGAAAUUAAACACUGAAAUAAAAAUUUCAAAGAUAUUCAAAGACAAACAAACCAUUGUGUUUUUUUUUUUUUUUCUUGUGACUCUCAUAAAAUCCAUAGAUAUUCACAAACCAAUUUGAACAAACCCUAAAGAGAACUAUGUACAUAAAAGACAUGUCUCUAGAAACAAAAGCUAACGACAAACUACUGUUCAACUUACUUUUCAUGGUUUAUAAACUUUAAGAAAGAUUAAAAAAAUAUAACAAGAUAUAUAUAUACACACACCUUAUAUAGGACAUUAUGCAAUGGGACAAUGAAGAAUAAGUUCAAUAAACUUUAAUGUACCCAAAUCUACCAUAAACUUGAGUUCACUCAAAACCUUUAAGAAAAGCAAAAGAAAAUGGACAAAUAGAAAUAUAAUCAAGCAAACAUAAUCAUUUUGUUAGGUACAUGCAAGAUAAACUAUUUCACACCAACAUAUAUAAUCAGUAUACAAAUGAAAUCUUUGAGUUUCACAAGCUAAACUCAAUUUAAACUUUGUACUAACAAGUCCAAACAAUUUUCAUUGUAAUUCAAUAGUUAAAAACGUACCUUGGAGUCCUUCCAACCAUAUCAAAAAAACAUAUAAGUCUAACACUUUAACAAAUUUCUAGUGCAUAUUAUGCAUCUCAAUUGAUCACAACAAAAUAAGAUUGAACAUAAAUACUCAUAAGUAAUACUUUUUCAAUGUUGCAUUUUCAUAAAAAAUCAACAAGCAUUGUCAUUUUCGUAAAGCUCUUAAUCCCCCCUCCCCCAAUUUCCAACACUAAUGUUGGAAAUGAACAACAAGAUCUUUCAAAGUAAGGAAAGAACUACUAUGGAGAUUUUGGAUGAUAUUAAUUCAAGCAAACGUUGAUAUACUACUAAUAUACCAUACUAAUUAGAUUAAAACACUUUCAAUGAGACUAGAAUUAUACAAAAUAUACUUUAAACCACAAUAGUUGAAUAUGUAUUUUGGUAGGGAGGUAGACAUUAAUUACUUGAACAAAUAAUGACAACGUCCUUGAAGUAAGAGAACUUUCUGCUAAUCCUCAAUUCAAUCAAUUAUUCAAAAUGUCAUAAGGUAGUCAUAGGAAGAAAAUAUAGUUUAAAAACGCUGAUAAAAAGUAGAGGUAAAAAAAGUGUAUAGGCUUAAGUUUCAAAAACUUAAAGCCAAAAACCAAAUAGAUAACAUACAGAAAUUCUCUUGGAAAGUGUAUAAGCUUAAGUUGCAACAUACACAUUCAUACAUUUCCAAUGUGUAUAACAUACAUCGCGGUUUAUGUUUCAAGCAGAGGGUGUAUUUCAACAUUUUCAAAUUUACUCCUCUUAGAAAGAUCUAGUAUGGUAAGUGGCAAAUAAAAUUCUACCAUACAAAAUAAAUCUUAAUUCACCAUCAUUUUUUGUCUUUCCUUUCAAUAUAGAACAUGUAGUAAAUUUUGUUGCUACUAUCCUUAUUGUAAGAAAGGGAGAGAGAACAUACCUAUAAUUAUCAAUAAUCAUGUAACGACCCGAACUUUUCUAACUAUGUCAAAAUCGUUAAUUUUGACAAAAGACCGAGUUUAAUUAAAAUUUAAAACCUCAAAAGAACAAAAUUUAUUUUGUUUGUUUGGGCCCCAGUUUUAAAUUACUAAAAUUCAUAUGAAAAUUUAAAACUAAAAAGUUUCAAAUCUUUGAAUACUUUAAAACCUCAAAAUUUUCUAAACAGUCUCACGUUCGAAUACAAAUAAUACUAUAAAUCACUAAGCGGAAGCAAAAUUUUGAAGUGUCCCCUGUGGCGGUCACGCUUCCUUCCUACCCCUCGCCGGUUUGCCGCCUUUAUUACCUUGCCUGAAAAAUUAGACAUAAGGAGGAAGAGACCCUCUACUGGUUCCGUCAGGGGAAAAUAAAUUGUUAACAUUCUAUUGGGACACCCUAUAGAGUCGCAGUCUUGUGAUCCCGUAGGAUGCACAUUUCAGUCUAACGCCCCGAGGGACAUACAUUUCAGUCUAGUGUUAUGCAGAAACACAUAUCAGUCUAAUGCUCCCGAAGGUCGCAUAAAAAUUGGUGAUCCAGUAGGACACCUACAAGGCAUACAUCCCAAUAAAACUAACAAUUAUUCCCCUCAAUCCAUUCUAACCAUCUUUACGGUUAUUUAUGACAUCUUUCAGUUACUUCAAAAUAUAAAGUUCUUUCACUCAACAUUCUAAACCACAAAGUCACAACACCCCUCAUUUUUACCAACGCAAACCACAUUUCAGUAUAAUCCACAUCCAACCGAAACAAAUUCACUAGUUCACAUCCCAAAUAUCUUUAUACAGCACAAUCUAUUAAUAUCAUCAUGUACACAUAAAGCAUAAUUUCAGUCAUUCACAUGUAUACUUUCGGCAAUCCACAUCAAUUCACACAUCAAUGUAUAUAUAUAUGUUUCCAGUCAAAUACAACAUAUACUAAACAUUUAGUAUGCAACCAAACGUGUACAUCUUAAUCAUCAUCCAUACAGUCCAACACAACUCAAAAACGUUAGAUGAUUAGAUGAGUCCAGUAGAAAGUCCCUUACCUCAAGGUAACUCAAUUUCUCGAACAAACUAUAUCCAACGAAAGACACCAAGGUAUUAGCGAACCGAACUCUAACAAUUUACAAGUUGGUUGUGAAUUCAAGGGACUCAAAGUUACUUCCAACACCUUCAAGAACAAUAUUAACCAAACGUUUAAUUUGAUAUUUCAUCUUAUGCAGAAACCAUCCAUUUCACUUAUCUAAACGACAAAGAUCGUACAAACAUAUUAGAGUGUACAUCGGUUUGUGAAUCGCGUCUAGAAGAAGAAGCACGAUGCUGCCUUACUGUCCGCCGACGAACAGACGCGGUGGUGCAGAUGGUUGACGAAAGCGGAACAAAACCCUCAGUUGGAAUAUGGAAAGUCGUGGCGGUGUGGUACGGUUGCGAACGUCACGACGGCACAAAACGUGAGGCAGAAGACUUGUGCAAGCUGAGCAACGCGGAUUUUCAAGCAGUGCGACUAGCAGAAGAUGACGGACAAUGUGAUGAAGUGGCUCGAGUGGUUGCGGAUCUGGACAGCCGGGAGGCGCUGACGAACCGCGACGAGCAGUUGGGGGUUUGGGUAACGGCGGCGCCAGAAAAAUGAAGGAGAAGGGAGAGAGGAGAUGUUCGACGGCUGGAGGAAGCAGUGGGAUGCAGCACGAACAGAAACAGUACGCGACGACUUUGUAACCUGAACGGACGACGACUUCAGGCAAAUAGUGCAGCGGCGAGGGCGGGAUGAGAAGAUUUGGGCGGUGAUGGUGGUUGGCGGACGAGCGAAAAGGAGAGGGGAGAUGUGAGGCGACUGGGUAGGGAGAGAAAUAGGAGAAGAUGAAGAAGAAAAGGGGGAUCGUGCGUGGGAGAAGAAGAAAAGGAAAUUGUUUUUCUUUUAUUUAUUAUUAUUUUUUUUUAAAAAAAUAUAUAUAUUAU
This 32664-nucleotide long non-coding RNA is filed under the name Cucumis sativus (cucumber). RNAcentral describes it as "long non-coding RNA (CSAT_LNC002701)". Lineage: Eukaryota; Viridiplantae; Streptophyta; Magnoliopsida; Cucurbitales; Cucurbitaceae. The record is from RNAcentral.